Molecule: ribosomal RNA, 499 nt
Filed under: uncultured bacterium
Lineage: Bacteria
Description: partial 16S ribosomal RNA
Rfam family: Bacterial small subunit ribosomal RNA
Source: RNAcentral
GACGAACGCUGGCGGCGUGCUUAACACAUGCCAGUCGAACGGGCCCGCCCCUGUUUUUGGGGGUGGGUUGAGUGGCGAACGGGUGAGUAUCACGUGAGUAACCUGCCCCCUGCUCCUGGAUAACUGCUUGAAAGGGCGGCUAAUACGGGGUGUGCCGGCUGGUCCGCAUGGGCCUGGUCGGGAUAGUUUCAUCUUCGGGUGUUUCGGUGGGGGAUGGGCUCGCGGCCUAUCAGCUUGUUGGUGGGGUGAUGGCCCACCAAGGCGGUGACGGGUAGCCGGCCUGAGAGGGUGGGCGGCCACACUGGGACUGAGACACGGCCCAGACUCCUGCGGGAGGCAGCAGUGGGGGGUAUUGCACAAUGGGCGGAAGCCUGAUGCAGCGACGUCGCGUGAGGGAUGGAGGCCUUCGGGUUGUGAACCUCUUUCUCCGGUGGUGAAGGCCCUGUCCGUUGCGGCGGGGUUGACGGUAGCCGGGGAUGAAGCGCCGGCUAACUACGUG